Long non-coding RNA from Ooceraea biroi (clonal raider ant), 264 nucleotides. RefSeq lists it as uncharacterized. Lineage: Eukaryota; Metazoa; Arthropoda; Insecta; Hymenoptera; Formicidae. The record is from RefSeq and is a predicted model, not a curated record.
GCCGGAAACGUCUGGCAAUUCCGUUGGCGGCCUGGAUAAGUGCCAUAUCGUUUACUUUCGACCUCUUAUUACUUAUGUCCAUUUUUAAUUCUUGCAGAAUAAAUCGUUCAUGGAAUAAAUAAGUGAUUAAACAGACUAAUCGUUGCAAAUUCUCAGAGAUAACAUGUAUAUCCUAAAUAUAUAAUAAAUACACACGCGAUGUAUAUACAUCAUAAAUAACAUUAAAUAAUAUAAGCGCACGAGAUGCUGCCAGAGUUUGAACUA